CCUCACUCUCAGGGCGGGGCGAAAUUCCCCACCGGCGGUAUGCGGAGGAGAUCCGUGAGCCCGCGAGCGCCUUUCCCCUUCGGGCGAAAGGGUCAGCAGAUCAGGUGCGAGGCCUGAGCCGACGGUCAUAGUCCGGAUGAAAGAGAGCAAGA
RNAcentral lists this non-coding RNA (152 nucleotides) under Thioclava dalianensis. RNAcentral's name for it is "FMN sequence". It matches the Rfam family "FMN riboswitch aptamer (RFN element)". From Rfam's summary of the family: The RFN element is a highly conserved domain that is found frequently in the 5'-untranslated regions of prokaryotic mRNAs that encode for flavin mononucleotide (FMN) biosynthesis and transport proteins. The record is from Rfam by way of RNAcentral. Lineage: Bacteria; Pseudomonadati; Pseudomonadota; Alphaproteobacteria; Rhodobacterales; Paracoccaceae.